This is a long non-coding RNA of Nerophis lumbriciformis (worm pipefish), 1082 nucleotides long. RefSeq lists it as uncharacterized. The record is from RefSeq and is a predicted model, not a curated record. Lineage: Eukaryota; Metazoa; Chordata; Actinopteri; Syngnathiformes; Syngnathidae.
UAUGGUCGCAGUGCUAGGUUGGCCUUGUCGAAACCGUGUAGGAUUUUUAAAAAAAAUUACGAGAAUAUAUAUUAAUAAUAUAUAUUUUAAAUUGACAUUAUUUCCUAUCUCCGAGCUUGAGAUGUGCAUUGAAACGAUGGAUAUGACCAGCUCCAAACACAUUGACUCUCUUCGGCUAACUUUGAAGCCUCCAGCAAAGCUGCGUUGGACGCAGCUGCGCGUCACCGCCGAGGAGGACGAGGCCUUCGGAUCGUGUCGAGGCACCGCCGCCAAGCAGACCAGCGGGAAGUUCCAACGACGGGAACAGCGACGGGCGGCGAGACUCCUCGGUGUCCCUUACAGCGUGGACCGACGGGAGGACCGACGAGCCGCGGCCUGUGCGCGGCGGCUUCCUGCCGGAGCAAUGGCGCCGGAGAACACCACACAGUACUUGAUCAACGAGCAUGAACUAGACAACAUGGCGGCGAGUAGCAAUGACUCCCACAAACCAACCGAAUCGCUGGAGGGACUUUGAGGACAUGUUUGGCCCAUGUUGGUAACCCGGAUGACGGGGAAUGACGUGGCCUCGCACUGCUUCAAGGCGGAGGAACUUUUCCCUGUCGGAAAAGUGGCGCACUGGACGCCUCCCCGCCCAGUCAGGGAGCGCUCCCAAGCCGCCUUCCGCGCUGCCCCGACGAGUGGACCAAACGCACCUGAGCUGUGGUCUGGUCACUGGUUGCAAGUCAGGUAACACCGGGCAGGUAUUGUUGCACUGCUUGUUGCUUCCUUCAUGGUUCCAUGCAACCUCUGUCACUGUCUGAGAGUUUUCCAGGUCACCCCCGCCGGGACAAAAGGCUCUGCUGCGGGAGACCCAGGAGCUCUGUCUUCCAAGACUCGUGAAAGGUGACUUUUUUUUUUAAAUGACAUAAGGCACUUGUAGUCUCAGUUUAAAAAGACCCAAGUUGUGCACAUGUCAUGUGACUUUGAUCCAUUUUUGGAUCAUGUUAUAUAUUGUAAUUAAGCCAAAUUUGGCUUGGGUCGACGUGGAUCAUGUGAGAAGUUAUCGUGAAUAAAUGUCCAAAUAAAAGCGCUUGUGUACUUAC